UACGUAGGGGGCAAGCGUUGUCCGGAUUUAUUGGGCGUAAAGAGCGUGUAGGCGGCCAUUCAGGUCAGCUGUGAAAACUCGAGGCUCAACCUCGAGACGUCGGUUGAAACCGUUUGGCUAGAGUCCGGAAGAGGAGAGUGGAAUUCCCGGUGUAGCGGUGAAAUGCGCAGAUAUCGGGAAGAACACCCGUGGCGGAGGCGGCUCUCUGGGACGGUACUGACGCUGAGACGCGAAAGCGUGGGGAGCGAACAGG
This 253-nucleotide ribosomal RNA is filed under the name uncultured bacterium. RNAcentral's name for it is "partial 16S ribosomal RNA". It matches the Rfam family "Bacterial small subunit ribosomal RNA", at positions 524 to 776 of the family's 1533-position model. The record is from RNAcentral.